Molecule: ribosomal RNA, 381 nt
Filed under: uncultured bacterium
Lineage: Bacteria
Description: bacterial SSU rRNA
Rfam family: Bacterial small subunit ribosomal RNA
Source: RNAcentral
AUUGAACGCUGGCGGCAUGCUUUACACAUGCAAGUCGAACGGUAACAGGCCUUCGGGUGCUGACGAGUGGCGAACGGGUGAGUAAUGCAUCGGAACGUGCCCAAUCGUGGGGGAUAACGUAGCGAAAGUUACGCUAAUACCGCAUAAGCCCUGAGGGGGGAAAUGGGGGGACCGCAAGGCCUCACGCGAAUGGAGCGGCCGAUGUCAGAUUAGCUAGUUGGUGGGGUAAAGGCUCACCAAGGCGACGAUCUGUAGCGGGUCUGAGAGGAUGAUCCGCCACACUGGGACUGAGACACGGCCCAGACUCCUACGGGAGGCAGCAGUGGGGAAUUUUGGACAAUGGGCGCAUGCCUGAUCCAGCCAUGCCGCGUGCGGGACGAA